RNAcentral lists this ribosomal RNA (402 nucleotides) under uncultured bacterium. RNAcentral's name for it is "bacterial SSU rRNA". It matches the Rfam family "Bacterial small subunit ribosomal RNA", at positions 355 to 774 of the family's 1533-position model. The record is from RNAcentral.
UGGGGAAUCUUGCACAAUGGGGGCAACCCUGAUGCAGCGACGCCGCGUGAGCGAUGAAGCCCCUCGGGGCGUAAAGCUCUUUCGACCGGAACGAUAAUGACGGUACCGGGAGAAGAAGCUGCGGCUAACUACGUGCCAGCAGCCGCGGUAAUACGUAGGCAGCAAGCGUUGUUCGGAGUUACUGGGCGUAAAGAGUGCGUAGGCGGUUUUCUAAGUUCGGUGUGAAAUCUCCCGGCUUAACUGGGAGGGUGCGCCGAAGACUGGGAAGCUGGAGUGUGGGAAAGGCAGGCGGAAUUCCUGGUGGAGCGGUGAAAUGCGUAGAUAUCAGGAGGAACACCGGCGGUGUAGACGGCUUGCUAGACCAUAAUUGACGCUGAGGCACGAAAGCGUGGGUAGCAAACA